This 412-nucleotide ribosomal RNA is filed under the name uncultured bacterium. RNAcentral's name for it is "bacterial SSU rRNA". It matches the Rfam family "Bacterial small subunit ribosomal RNA", at positions 355 to 786 of the family's 1533-position model. The record is from RNAcentral.
UGGGGAAUAUUGCACAAUGGGCGCAAGCCUGAUGCAGCAACGCCGCGUGAAGGAAGACGGUUUUCGGAUUGUAAACUUCUGUUCUUAGUGAAGAAGAAUGACGGUAGCUAAGGAGCAAGCCACGGCUAACUACGUGCCAGCAGCCGCGGUAAUACGUAGGUGGCAAGCGUUGUCCGGAAUUACUGGGUGUAAAGGGAGCGCAGGCGGGAGAAAGUCAGUUGUGAAAUCCAUGGGCUUAACCCGUGAACUGCAGUUGAAACUGUUCUUCUUGAGUGAAGUAGAGGUUGGCGGAAUUCCGAGUGUAGCGGUGAAAUGCGUAGAUAUUCGGAGGAACACCGGUGGCGAAGGCGGCCAACUGGGCUUUUACUGACGCUGAGGCUCGAAAGUGUGGGAGCAAACAGGAUUAGAUACC